Molecule: ribosomal RNA, 484 nt
Filed under: uncultured bacterium
Lineage: Bacteria
Description: partial 16S ribosomal RNA
Rfam family: Bacterial small subunit ribosomal RNA
Source: RNAcentral
AUUGAACGCUAGCGGGAUGCUUUACACAUGCAAGUCGAACGGCAGCGCGGACUUCGGUCUGGCGGCGAGUGGCGAACGGGUGAGUAAUGUAUCGGAACGUGCCCAGUAGCGGGGGAUAACUACGCGAAAGCGUAGCUAAUACCGCAUACGCCCUACGGGGGAAAGCAGGGGAUCGUAAGACCUUGCACUAUUGGAGCGGCCGAUAUCGGAUUAGCUAGUUGGUGAGGUAACGGCUCACCAAGGCGACGAUCCGUAGCUGGUUUGAGAGGACGACCAGCCACACUGGAACUGAGACACGGCCCAGACUCCUACGGGAGGCAGCAGUGGGGAAUUUUGGACAAUGGGGGCAAGCCUGAUCGAGCCAUCCCGCGUGUGCGAUGAAGGCCUUCGGGUUGUAAAGCACUUUUGGCAGGAAAGAAACGUCGCGGGCUAAUACCCCGUGGAACUGACGGUACCUGCAGAAUAAGCACCGGCUAACUACGUG